CCCUUAGAUGUCCGGGGCUGCACGCGCGCUACACUGAGGGAAUCAGCGUGCUAAAACCAUUGUCGAAAGGCAUUGGUAAACCCAUUAAAAUCCUACGUGAUUGGGAUCGGGAAUUGCAAUUAUUUCCCUUGAACGAGGAAUUCCCAGUAAGUGUGGGUCAUAAGCUCGCGUUGAUUACGUCCCUGCCCUUUGUACACACCGCCCGUCGCUGCCCGGGACUGAGCCGUUUCGAGAAAAGCGGGGACUGCUGCUGUCGGGGCUUUCGGGCCUUGGCUUCGGUGGAAACCGCUUUAAUCGCAGUGGCUUGAACCGGGCAAAAGUCGUAACA
Molecule: ribosomal RNA, 328 nt
Filed under: uncultured eukaryote
Lineage: Eukaryota
Description: partial 18S ribosomal RNA
Rfam family: Eukaryotic small subunit ribosomal RNA
Source: RNAcentral